AUUGAACGCUGGCGGCAGGCCUAACACAUGCAAGUCGAGCGAGCGGCGGACGGGUGAGUAAUGUAUGGGGACUGCCCGAUAGAGGGGGAUAACUACUGGAAACGGUAGCUAAUACCGCAUACUAUCGGAUCACCCAUUUGGGAUUAGCUAGUUGGUGAGGUAAAGGCUGAACAAGGCGACGAUCCCUAGCUGGGCUGAGAGGAUGAUCAGCCACACUGGCACUGAGACACGGCCCAGACUCCUACGGAGGCAGCAGUGGGGAAUAUUGCACAAUGGGCGCAAGCCUGAUGCAGCCAUGCCGCGUGAAUGAAGAAGGCCCUAGGGGUGUAAAGUACUUUCAGUCGGGAGGCGUUACCGACAGAAGAAGCAACGGCUAACUCCGUGCCAGCAGCCGCGGUAAUUC
RNAcentral lists this ribosomal RNA (403 nucleotides) under uncultured bacterium. RNAcentral describes it as "partial 16S ribosomal RNA". It matches the Rfam family "Bacterial small subunit ribosomal RNA", at positions 30 to 526 of the family's 1533-position model. The record is from RNAcentral.